GAUGAACGCUGGCGGCGUGCCUAAUACAUGCAAGUCGAGCGAACAGACGAGGAGCUUGUUCCUCUGAUGUUAGCGGCGGACGGGUGAGUAACACGUGGAUAACCUACCUAUAAGACUGGGAUAACUUCGGGAAACCGGAGCUAAUACCGGAUAACAUUUGGAACCGCAUGGUUCAACAGUGAAAGACGGUCUUGCUGUCACUUAUAGAUGGAUCCGCGCCGCAUUAGCUAGUUGGUAAGGUAACGGCUUACCAAGGCAACGAUGCGUAGCCGACCUGAGAGGGGGAUCGGCCACACUGGAACGGAGACACGGUCCAGACUACUACGGGAGGCAGCAGUAGGGAAUCGUACGCAAUGGGCGAAAGCCUGACGGAGCAACGCCGCGUGAGUGAAGAAGGUCUUCGGAUCGUAAAACUCUGUUAUUAGGGAAGAACAAAUGUGUAAGUAACUAUGCACGUCUUGACGGUACCUAAUCAGAAAGCCACGGCUAACUACGUG
Molecule: ribosomal RNA, 497 nt
Filed under: uncultured bacterium
Lineage: Bacteria
Description: partial 16S ribosomal RNA
Rfam family: Bacterial small subunit ribosomal RNA
Source: RNAcentral